RNAcentral lists this ribosomal RNA (499 nucleotides) under Triatoma dimidiata (kissing bug). RNAcentral's name for it is "partial 16S ribosomal RNA". The stretch from base 61 to 268 matches the Rfam family "Archaeal large subunit ribosomal RNA", at positions 1793 to 2108 of the family's 2987-position model. Lineage: Eukaryota; Metazoa; Arthropoda; Insecta; Hemiptera; Reduviidae. The record is from RNAcentral.
ACUUGAAUGAUUUAAUUAAUUGGGAUUUUAAUGUUAUAAUGAUUAAAUUAGUAUUUUUUUUAAUUAAAUUAUAGGAACUCGGCAAAUUUAGUGUUCGCCUGUUUAACAAAAACAUGUCCUUUUGUUUAUUUAUUUAAGGUCUGACCUGCCCAAUGAGGAAUUCAAUGGCCGCAGUAUUUUAACUGUGCUAAGGUAGCAUAAUCAUUUGUCUUUUAAUUGAGGGCUGGAAUGAAAGGUUGGACGAGAUAUUAACUUUCUUUAGUUUAAUUUUAAGAAUUUAAUUUUUAAGUUAAAAAGCUUAAAUUUAUUUGUUGGACGAGAAGACCCUAUAGAUCUUUAUAAUUUUAUAUUUUGAUAAUUUGGUGAUUUUAUUUAUUGUAAGUAGAAGAAUUAUUUUGUUGGGGUGACUGUAGAAUUUUAUUAACUUCUAUUAUUUUUAUUUCAUUGAUUGGUGUUUUUUUGAUCCAUAUAUUUAUGAUUAAAAGAUUAAGUUACCUUA